RNAcentral lists this ribosomal RNA (548 nucleotides) under uncultured bacterium. Its description in RNAcentral is "bacterial SSU rRNA". It matches the Rfam family "Bacterial small subunit ribosomal RNA", at positions 355 to 896 of the family's 1533-position model. The record is from RNAcentral.
UGGGGAGUUUUGGACAAUGGGGGCAACCCUGAUCCAGCAAUGCCGCGUGUGUGAAGAAGGCCUUCGGGUUGUAAAGCACUUUUGUCCGGAAAGAAAUCGCGCUGGUUAAUACCUGGCGUGGAUGACGGUACCGGAAGAAUAAGCACCGGCUAACUACGUGCCAGCAGCCGCGGUAAUACGUAGGGUGCGAGCGUUAAUCGGAAUUACUGGGCGUAAAGCGUGCGCAGGCGGUUUUGUAAGGCAGGCGUGAAAUCCCCGGGCUUAACCUGGGAAUUGCGCUUGUGACUGCAAGGCUAGAGUGCGUCAGAGGGGGGUAGAAUUCCACGUGUAGCAGUGAAAUGCGUAGAGAUGUGGAGGAAUACCGAUGGCGAAGGCAGCCCCCUGGGACGUGACUGACGCUCAUGCACGAAAGCGUGGGGAGCAAACAGGAUUAGAUACCCUGGUAGUCCACGCCCUAAACGAUGUCAACUAGUUGUUGGGGAUUCAUUUUCUCAGUAACGUAGCUAACGCGUGAAGUUGACCGCCUGGGGAGUACGGUCGCAAGAUUA